RNAcentral lists this microRNA precursor (64 nucleotides) under Bombyx mori (domestic silkworm). Its description in RNAcentral is "mir-2774 microRNA precursor family". It matches the Rfam family "mir-2774 microRNA precursor family". Lineage: Eukaryota; Metazoa; Arthropoda; Insecta; Lepidoptera; Bombycidae. The record is from Rfam by way of RNAcentral.
ACAACGCUUGGAUCGUCGGUCUACCGAGCAAUAUCCGCUCGGUGGAAGAUCUUCCCUCCAUCAU